AGGGUUCGAUUAUGGCUCAGGAUGAACGCUAGCUACAGGCUUAACACAUGCAAGUCGCGGGGCAGCAUGAAGGAUGCUUGCAUCUUUUGAUGGCGACCGGCGGACGGGUGAGUAACGCGUGGGUAACCUGCCCUGUACCGGGGGACAACAGUUGGAAACGACUGCUAAUACCGCAUAAGCGCACAGCAUCGCAUGAUGCAGUGUGAAAAACUCCGGUGGUACAGGAUGGACCCGCGUCUGAUUAGCUAGUUGGUGAGGUAACGGCUUACCAAGGCAACGACCAGUAGCCGACUUGAGAGAGUGAUCGGCCACAUUGGGACUGAGACACGGCCCAA
Molecule: ribosomal RNA, 335 nt
Filed under: uncultured bacterium
Lineage: Bacteria
Description: bacterial SSU rRNA
Rfam family: Bacterial small subunit ribosomal RNA
Source: RNAcentral